UGGACUUGAUAUCCUUGGAAUCUUACAGAGAUGUGAGAGUGCUAGUUUACUAGAGCCAAGUGACAGGUGCUGCACGGCUGUCGUCAGCUCGUGUCGUGAGAUGUUGGGUUAAGUCCCGCAACGAGCGCAACCCUCAUCCUUAGUUGCCAUCAUUAAGUUGGGCACUCUAAGGAAACUGCCGGUGUUAAACCGGAGGAAGGUGGGGAUGACGUCAAGUCCUCAUGGCCCUUACGGCUAGGGCUACACACGUGCUACAAUGGGGCGUACAGAGUGUUGCGAUACCGCGAGGUGGAGCAAAUCUAUAAACCUAAUCUCAGUUCGGAUAGCAGUCUGCAACUCGACUGCUUGAAGCUGGAAUCACUAGUAAUCGUAAAUCAGCUAUGUUACGGUGAAUACGUUCCCGGGUCU
RNAcentral lists this ribosomal RNA (408 nucleotides) under uncultured bacterium. RNAcentral describes it as "bacterial SSU rRNA". It matches the Rfam family "Bacterial small subunit ribosomal RNA", at positions 976 to 1381 of the family's 1533-position model. The record is from RNAcentral.